This 254-nucleotide ribosomal RNA is filed under the name uncultured bacterium. RNAcentral's name for it is "partial 16S ribosomal RNA". It matches the Rfam family "Bacterial small subunit ribosomal RNA", at positions 524 to 776 of the family's 1533-position model. The record is from RNAcentral.
UACAGAGGGGGCAAGCGUUGUUCGGAAUUACUGGGCGUAAAGGGCGCGUAGGCGGCCUGUUAAGUCGAACGUGAAAUCCCCGGGCUCAACCCGGGAACUGCGUCCGAUACUGGCAGGCUUGAAUCCGGGAGAGGGAUGUGGAAUUCCUGGUGUAGCGGUGAAAUGCGCAGAUAUCAGGAGGAACACCGGUGGCGAAGGCGGGGUCUCUGGGCCGAUACUGACGCUGAGGAGCGAAAGCGUGGGGAGCGAACAGG